Molecule: ribosomal RNA, 133 nt
Filed under: uncultured bacterium
Lineage: Bacteria
Description: partial 16S ribosomal RNA
Source: RNAcentral
AAGUUAACGUCAAUGUGCAUGACUAUUAAUCAUACACCCUUCUUCACUUUUGAAAGUGCUUUACAACCCUCAGGCCUUCUUCACACACGCGGCAUUGCUGGAUCAGGCUUCCGCCCAUUGUCCAAUAUUCCCC